This 66-nucleotide transfer RNA is filed under the name Staphylinidae sp. BMNH 1274640. RNAcentral describes it as "tRNA-Val". Lineage: Eukaryota; Metazoa; Arthropoda; Insecta; Coleoptera; Staphylinidae. The record is from RNAcentral.
CAAAUUAGAGCUUGUAAAAGUAUUUUAUUUACAUUAAAAAGAAAAUUAAUUAAUAAUUUAAUUUGA